Molecule: ribosomal RNA, 440 nt
Filed under: Fusarium lichenicola
Lineage: Eukaryota; Fungi; Ascomycota; Sordariomycetes; Hypocreales; Nectriaceae
Description: eukaryotic LSU rRNA
Rfam family: Eukaryotic large subunit ribosomal RNA
Source: RNAcentral
CCCGAGUUGUAAUUUGUAGAGGAUGCUUUUGGUGCGGUGCCUUCCGAGUUCCCUGGAACGGGACGCCAUAGAGGGUGAGAGCCCCGUCUGGUUGGAUGCCAAUCCUCUGUAAAGCUCCUUCGACGAGUCGAGUAGUUUGGGAAUGCUGCUCUAAAUGGGAGGUAUAUGUCUUCUAAAGCUAAAUACCGGCCAGAGACCGAUAGCGCACAAGUAGAGUGAUCGAAAGAUGAAAAGAACUUUGAAAAGAGAGUUAAAAAGUACGUGAAAUUGUUGAAAGGGAAGCGCUUGUGACCAGACUUGGGCUUGGUUGAUCAUCCAGGGUUCUCCCUGGUGCACUCUUCCGGCUCAGGCCAGCAUCAGUUUGCCUCGGGGGAUAAAGGCUUCGGGAAUGUGGCUCUCUCCGGGGAGUGUUAUAGCCCGCUGCGUAAUACCCUGUGCGG